This is a long non-coding RNA of Sapajus apella (tufted capuchin), 472 nucleotides long. RefSeq lists it as uncharacterized. The transcript has 3 exons. Lineage: Eukaryota; Metazoa; Chordata; Mammalia; Primates; Cebidae. The record is from RefSeq and is a predicted model, not a curated record.
UGGGCCGGGCGCUCCUGGGCCGGGCGCUCCUGGGCCGGGCGCUCCUGGGCCGGGCGCUCCUGGGCCGGGCGCUCCUGGGCCGGGCGCUCGCGAAAGACGCUUCCGCGGCACCCUGCAGCCCCAGUCCAGGCGAGGAGGCCGAGAGGAGAGGCAAUUCGCUUCUGAGAACGCUCAUUGAGUGCCGAUGUGAAGGCCACGGCACUGAACGACUUGGCCCUGCACUAGGUGGAGCUGGGAGAUAGGCUCACUUGCUUGUAAGGAGCUUGAAGGCUGUGUGGGAGACCAAUUCAGAGGAAAGAAACAGUAUGAGAGAUGGGGUCUUGCUGUUGUCUAGGCUGUGAGCACAGGAGAUGGAGAUCAAGUGAUCCUCCUCCCUUGGCUUCCCAAAAUGCUGGGAUUAAAGACAUGAACCACCACACCCUGCCCACUCUGACCCUUUCUGCCUCCUGCUUCCAUUCUUAAAAACAUUUGU